CAUUUCUAUGCCAGGCAACCACUGCAGAAGCACACAGCACAGGGCCCUGCUUGAUUAGCACUUCUGCUGUUUCGAGAGUCCUGGAGUGUUUUGUUCAAGGUAACUGCUGAUAAACUCACCCCUCUGAGGGUACUGCGUGGCCGUCAGAAAAGUUGGUCUCACCGAAUGUAUGGGUUUGAAUAAUCUUUAGUAGCCAAUUGCCAGAUGAGAAAAGUCAUAAAGGUGUAAAAUUCAUUCAUAUCAGUCGCAUACAAAAUCUAUGGGAGGAUCAAACCCUUAACAGCUACUGACUGAGUUGGUAUCUGACCCCUGAGGCAAGGCACGCAUCCAUGGAGGAAUGAACCAGACCUCCUUCAGGACAACUUCUGAGACGUCUUCCAAACCUUUCAAAAAUGUUUGGGGCUUACCAAGAAAAGCAGAAUCCCAGAUUUUUAGGAACUUCAGCAGUACUGUGUGUCAGUUUGGAAGAGCGAGAGGGACUAAAAUGUUAUGCUAAUAGACUCAGGGCAAAAGUGGGAUCCAGUACAGACCCAGUCCAACUUCUGUGUCAUAAGGCCCAACAAGACAUGUCAACACCGAGGUUUGGGAAACCACAGUGGGAGAAUUUCCAAGAUUUGGAAGAGGAGAUGUGCCUCAGACGUUCCGAACUUCACUCCCAUGGGCUGAGACUGGUAAUUCCAGGUACAGCACCAGGUCCUUCUGCUCUGGAUGUCACCAAGAUCUCCUGGAGGGCUGCACUCUGGAGGUACCGCAUCCAAAGCUUCUGGCUCUUGGGUCUGAGAUGCAUUUGUUGCAGCCUGACAGGUUCAGAUGUGGCACUGUCUGCAAAACCAACACCACUCAUAGGUAGGAAACUGCAGCAGCCAUGGGACAGUGCAGAGCAGUGGGCACUCUGCCUCUGGAGUUCUUAGGGAUUUCCAAGGGCUGUAGUUUACUGGCUCUGAGACCACUGCUUGGCUUUAAACCAUUUGGCUGCUUGGUUGGAUGUAUCUAGCAUGAGAGUGGUAUUUGUGGGAAUGUGUGUCUGUGUUGGUAACAACUACAGUGUUUGCAGAGCUUUCCUAUGGUGCAAAAUCCAGCUGAUUCUCUGGGUGCCAGGGAGCAACAUGGGGUGUGCUGGAGAAUCCAGUUGCAGGGCUGCAGCAGGUCUGCAAGAGCAAGAGAGGGAAAUCACUCUUCUCUUCCCUUCAGGCUGAUCCUUUUUUGCUAGGUGCUGUGUCCUGGCCGUAGGUCUCCACAUCCUCCCUAGCUCUUCU
Gallus gallus (chicken) is the source of this 1256-nucleotide long non-coding RNA. The record is from Ensembl. NCBI's taxonomy places the organism in Eukaryota, Metazoa, Chordata, Aves, Galliformes, Phasianidae.